RNAcentral lists this ribosomal RNA (253 nucleotides) under uncultured bacterium. RNAcentral's name for it is "partial 16S ribosomal RNA". It matches the Rfam family "Bacterial small subunit ribosomal RNA", at positions 524 to 776 of the family's 1533-position model. The record is from RNAcentral.
UACGGAGGAGGCAAGCGUUAUCCGGAAUUAUUGGGCGUAAAGCGUCCGCAGGUGGCACUUCAAGUCUGCCGUCAAAGACUGGGGCUUAACCCUGGAAAGGCGGUGGAAACUGAAGCGCUAGAGUGCGGUAGGGGUAGAGGGAAUUCCCGGUGUAGCGGUGAAAUGCGUAGAGAUCGGAAAGAACACCAACGGCGAAAGCACUCUGCUGGGCCGACACUGACACUGAGAGACGAAAGCUAGGGGAGCGAAUGGG